GCUGGGCACAGUGGUCCAUGCCUGUAAUCUAGUAACUUGGGAAGCUGAGGUAGGAGAAUGGCAAGUUUGAGGCCAGCCUGGGCAACUUAGCAACACCCUGUCUCAA
RNAcentral lists this small RNA (106 nucleotides) under Marmota monax (woodchuck). Lineage: Eukaryota; Metazoa; Chordata; Mammalia; Rodentia; Sciuridae. The record is from RNAcentral.